UUUGACCAAACAAAACUCUGUCUUCUCCGCCGAACACGACCCCGACUCGUCUCUCUCACCCAACUCUCUUGUGUCAACAUCUUUGAUUACUUCUUGAAUCAUCGCCGAUGUCACUCCACUUCGGGGUUUAUCUCAAUUUCGAUCAAAUUUUAAAAGGUAGCUUAUUUUCUCAAUUUAAUUUCAAAAUUGAGUUAUAGAUGAUUACUA
RNAcentral lists this long non-coding RNA (207 nucleotides) under Arabidopsis lyrata. Its description in RNAcentral is "long non-coding RNA (ALYR_LNC000943)". Lineage: Eukaryota; Viridiplantae; Streptophyta; Magnoliopsida; Brassicales; Brassicaceae. The record is from RNAcentral.